Alligator mississippiensis (American alligator) is the source of this 641-nucleotide long non-coding RNA. RefSeq lists it as uncharacterized. Lineage: Eukaryota; Metazoa; Chordata; Crocodylia; Alligatoridae. The record is from RefSeq and is a predicted model, not a curated record. The transcript has 2 exons.
GUUUAACCUGUUACAUAGCUAUAUAAGGCAGAUGCCCACUGGGGUGGGGGUGCUUACUUUAUAAACGAUUGCCAAACACCACUUUCUACACAAAAAUAAAGAUUAAGUUAGAUCCUUCACUCCUGUGUGUUUAUUGACACAAGCGCACCGGACACGAACUCACUGUCCUUUGGAGACAACAAUUUCUGGCGACCCAGAUGGGACCCUAGCUGACUGCCUUGCCCGGUCCACCUUUUCGGCUCCGGCAACAACUGUGGACGGCGCGAGGGCCAGGCACCACCGACCUUAUUCGUCGGAGGUCUGACCGUCUCCUGGUUGCCUGACGGAGUCGUGGAGGGGUACAAUGGCGCAACGCUUGAAGGACCAACUUAAUCGGGCGGGGCGAGGGAGGUUUCAACGGACUGGUCCUUCCCAUGGGAACAGCACUGAGAGAGAGUGCAUUUGGCAUCUGCCUUUCACCCUCUUCAACGUGGGGACAUCCUACAACACCUUUGUGGCUACAAGUUCCAGACCUCCAGCAUGACAGCGCUCCAGCACUGUGCCCUGACCUGUCGGCAGUGGAUUGAUAACCGUGUGUCCUUUCAUAUAUUUCGAUGUGAUAUUUUUCUCUGUCUCUCUUAGUAAAGGUGGUUCUUGAUGAA